RNAcentral lists this ribosomal RNA (366 nucleotides) under uncultured Glomeromycotina. Its description in RNAcentral is "SSU rRNA". It matches the Rfam family "Eukaryotic small subunit ribosomal RNA", at positions 569 to 938 of the family's 1831-position model. Lineage: Eukaryota; Fungi; Glomeromycota. The record is from RNAcentral.
AGCAGCCGCGGUAAUUCCAGCUCCAAUAGCGUAUAUUAAAGUUGCUGCAGUUAAAAAGCUCGUAGUUGAAUUUCGGGACUAAUAUGUCGGUCGUGCCUUGGCACGUACUGGUAUCAUUGGUUUCUCCUUUCUGACGAACCAUGAUGUCAUUUAUUUGGUGUUAUGGGGAAUCAGGACUGUUACUUUGAAAAAAAUUAGAGUGUUUAAAGCAGGCUCACGCUUGAAUACAUUAGCAUGGAAUAAUGAAAUAGGACGUUUGAUUCUAUUUUGUUGGUUUCUAGGAUCGACGUAAUGAUUAAUAGGGAUAGUUGGGGGCAUUAGUAUUCAAUUGUCAGAGGUGAAAAUUCUUGGAUUUAUUGAAGACUA